RNAcentral lists this unclassified non-coding RNA (482 nucleotides) under Eucalyptus melliodora. RNAcentral's name for it is "partial contains external transcribed spacer; may also contain 26S ribosomal RNA and 18S ribosomal RNA". The stretch from base 412 to 482 matches the Rfam family "Eukaryotic small subunit ribosomal RNA", at positions 1 to 72 of the family's 1831-position model. Lineage: Eukaryota; Viridiplantae; Streptophyta; Magnoliopsida; Myrtales; Myrtaceae. The record is from RNAcentral.
UCGUGCUGGGGGUGACCGAACUGCUUCCCUCACUUUCGAUCAGUUGUUGCUCCGCGAGCUAAACGUCGGAUGCGAGAUGUGGGUUCCUGUGUUGCAUACCUAUUGCGACGGAAAUGUGUGCCUUCGGUAGUCCCUUCCAUCACGACGUCCUCUUGGAUGCUCGGUUGGACCGGAUAGUGGGGCUCGUGUUCCACGAACGUCGUCUCAUUCGAUCGUUCGGACGGACCACGAGUGCCUACUCGUUCUCUCGGAUGCGGAACUCUCGCAAUGGGAGUGGGGUCAUUGGCCCUUCUUCCCUAAUCGUUAAGCGUUUAUCGCUUCACCCGAAUGACGAUCUUGCCUUGUCCUUGAUCGCGCGAAGCCCUCGGGCAUCGCGGCGGAUCAUGCUCGGCGGACGUCGUGAAGGAAUGCUACCUGGUUGAUCCUGCCAGUAGUCAUAUGCUUGUCUCAAAGAUUAAGCCAUGCAUGGUAAGUGGAAUCCG